GACGAACGCUGGCGGCGUGCCUAAUACAUGCAAGUCGAGCGGAACUGGGGGAGCUUGCUCCUUCCAGUUUAGCGGCGGACGGGUGAGUAACACGUGGGCAACCUGCCCUGCAGAUCGGGAUGACUCCGGGAAACCGGUGCUAAUACCGAAUAGUUUGGCGCCUCUCCUGAGGCGCUACGGAAAGACGGUUUCGGCUGUCACUGCAGGAUGGGCCCGCGGCGCAUUAGCUAGUUGGUGGGGUAACGGCCCACCAAGGCGACGAUGCGUAGCCGACCUGAGAGGGUGACCGGCCACACUGGGACUGAGACACGGCCCAGACUCCUACGGGAGGCAGCAGUAGGGAAUCUUCCGCAAUGGACGCAAGUCUGACGGAGCAACGCCGCGUGAGUGACGAAGGUUUUCGGAUCGUAAAACUCUGUUGUGAGGGAAGAACACGUACCAACUAACUAUUGGUACCUUGACAGUACCUCACCAGAAAGCCACGGCUAACUACGUGCCAGCAGCCGCCGUAA
RNAcentral lists this ribosomal RNA (512 nucleotides) under uncultured bacterium. Its description in RNAcentral is "partial 16S ribosomal RNA". It matches the Rfam family "Bacterial small subunit ribosomal RNA", at positions 28 to 523 of the family's 1533-position model. The record is from RNAcentral.